CCUACGGGAGGCAGCAGUGAGGAAUAUUGGUCAAUGGGCGAGAGCCUGAACCAGCCAUCCCGCGUGCAGGAAGAAUGCCCUAUGGGUUGUAAACUGCUUUUUCGCAUGAAGAACACCCCUGACGUGUCAGGGGCUGACGGUAAUGCGUGAAUAAGCACCGGCUAACUCCGUGCCAGCAGCCGCGGUAAUACGGAGGGUGCAAGCGUUAUCCGGAUUUAUCGGGUUUAAAGGGUGCGUAGGCGGCUAUUUAAGUCAGUGGUGAAAUCCUGCAGCUCAACUGUAGAACAGCCAUUGAAACUGAAUAGCUUGAGUAAUCUUGAGGUAGGCGGAAUGUGUAGUGUAGCGGUGAAAUGCUUAGAUAUUACACAGAACACCGAUUGCGAAGGCAGCUUACUAAGGAUUCACUGACGCUGAUGCACGAGAGCGUGGGGAUCAAACGGGAUUAGAUACCCUGGUAGUCCACGCCGUAAACGAUGAUAACUCGCUGUUGGCGAUACACAGUCAGCGGCUUAGCGAAAGCGUUAAGUUAUCCACCUGGGGAGUACGCUCGCAAGAGUGAAACUCAAAGGAAUUGACGG
Molecule: ribosomal RNA, 578 nt
Filed under: uncultured bacterium
Lineage: Bacteria
Description: bacterial SSU rRNA
Rfam family: Bacterial small subunit ribosomal RNA
Source: RNAcentral